RNAcentral lists this long non-coding RNA (983 nucleotides) under Ananas comosus (pineapple). Its description in RNAcentral is "long non-coding RNA (ACOM_LNC013792)". The record is from RNAcentral. Lineage: Eukaryota; Viridiplantae; Streptophyta; Magnoliopsida; Poales; Bromeliaceae.
AGAUUUCGGUAUAUUACAAAACGCGAGGAAAUUACAGAGAAAAUAAAGGUGGUCUUAUAUUCUUAGGGAAAAGACUCAUUUUCCAGGCAUUAUUUGCCUAUUUAUAACUCGCCCCUGUUGAUCAGUUAUUUCUCAUCCAUGAUCAGCCGCUAUUCCUAUUUUUCCGGGCCACUUACAGCCGAUCGGAACAGCUUGUAACCGUUUGCGGUUACUAUAACUCCCCUCAGCUAUAUGCGAUGGUUGUUCAUGCUUCUUUCGAUGCUCCCGGUGCACAUCAAAAUUUAUGCCCUUAAGAAACAGGGUUGAGUGGAGUACCGGUGUACCACCUGGCCGCGCCUUACUAGCCCAACAAUUGCCCUCUCUGCAGCUUCCGAACGGAUGCUUCGGUAGCUGGCGUAAUCAAAGGAGCGUCUCCCGAUACAGUCAGUUUCAAAUUCUUUGUACGGUAUCUCCCUAGCCAUCCUUUUCUUUUCUACGGCCACGAUCUCUCCAUCUCUUUUUGUCUUUUAUGCGGCAUUAAUUAUGUCAUCUUAAUUGCCGCCGUCUCUUCAUCAUUAUAGCCGGUAUCGGAAAUCGAUUCGACUUGACAGCUUCUUUCUUCUUCACCAAGCUUCCUCCUCUCCAUUUGCUUCAAGCAUUGUCUUCUUCGCCUUCUCUUUUCUUUUCCUUGUUUUCUCCGAUCUUUUCUCCAUCUCUGAUCUAAAGCCUGGUCUACUUCUUUCCCUUUUUCGAUCCUUAGGGUUUUUUCUUCACUUUUUUCUUUAGUUUUAGCAAUGGCGCCGCUUCCGCCUCUUCCUUCUUCUUCGUCUUUGGAUUACACUAUACUUAGACAGCUCGUCUCAUCGGACCCUUCUCGAUUCAUCUUAAGUCUUUCUUUCACUGACGAACCAACCCCUGACGAUUUCCGAUAUUCCAGUGACGGUCUUCCAUUGAUGGCCCAAACUAUUCAUCUCUAUUCUUGAUACCCGUCGGCUUCAACGGAA